This is a non-coding RNA of Acanthosepion pharaonis, 87 nucleotides long. NCBI's taxonomy places the organism in Eukaryota, Metazoa, Mollusca, Cephalopoda, Sepiida, Sepiidae. The record is from the annotation of a GenBank genome assembly.
GUUCUCAUACGAUCACUGAAGUUAAGCAAUGUUGAGUCUCGUUAGUAACUUGAUGGGUGACCUCUUGGGAAUACCAGUUGCUGUAAG